CUCCCAGCCAGAUGCUAAGUAAAACCUAAUAGCCAUGGGUAAGGGCCAGUUAAGGAGUUUAGAGCUGCUGUGGACUGAAGACAGACCCUUUUCAGAUUCUUUUUUUCAAUUAAGAUUAUGUGGGACACCAGGUUGCAUCAGACACUGGUGGAGAUUUCCAAACUUCUUAGCAAUCCGCCCAUCCGACGCUUCUGCCAGUGCAAACACUCCCGACGAUGGGGAGAAGAAACAGCCCUCUUUUUCUUUCAAAGUCAUCAAAUAUAAAGAUCUGUUAGGAUUUACAGACGACAGCUCUUACAAAGGGGCUCGCCAUGCCUGAGCUCCGCAGUCACAUUUUUCUUUCCCAGUUGUCUACUUCGUAGGUUUCUUCUUCCACCUGCCAAGAGAGGCAACCUGCUGUGUCUGCUUAUUUGCUGGAUCACUGCUGAUUUAAACUCUGCAAAUAGCAACAAAAAGCCGUUUUAAUGAGAUUUGAAAGUUCAGCUGUGAAAAUUGAAAGUCACCCAACAUCAGACCAUUCAGCCACCACCUGAGAACAUUGCACAGAAGUGUUCUUGUCACUCAGGGAGAUUGCGUUUCUGACCAGCUGGUUUACCGCAGUGGGAAGAAGGCACGGGGCGGCUAAGAAGUGAGUGUGUUGCCUUUGCUCACCCAGGGACACCUGGGAGAAUUCAGCAGCUCGUGUAUGCUGAGUGCUUGGCGUGAUACCCAGCAAGGAGCAGAUGCUCAAUCCAGGUCAGCUGGCCUCCCACACGCCCCUUCUCUUAACAAUUUAUUUAUUAUUUGACAGGCAAAGUGUAUGUGUGGGGGAGAGAGGGAGAGGGAAAGGGAGGGAGGGAGAGAGAGAGAAAGAAGGAGAGAGAGAGGGAGAGGGAGAGUGAGAGAGAUCGUCCAUCCACAGGUUCACUCCCCCAGGGGCCUCAACACUCAGGGCUGGGCCAGGCCAAAGCCAGGAGCCAGGAGGAAGUCCAUCUGGGUCUCCCAUGUGGGUGGCAGGGGCCCAAGGACUCGGGUCAUCAUCCACUGCCUCCCAGGCGUACUGGCAGGGAGCUGGAUCAGAAGUGGAGCAGUCUGGUCUUCCAAAGGCAGCACUCCAACAUGGGAUGCCAGCUUGGCAAUGGCCAUCUCAGCCCACUGAGCCACAACGUCAGCCCCUCCCCUGUUCUUACAGGGUGUGCAGGAGCAGGGUCGUCACGAUGCUCAGUGCUGUGCGGUAUGGACCUUGGGCCAUGAGUGCAUUCAUGUCUGAAUAAUUAAAGAAAUGCACCUAUCCACUCACCAAAAGAAGACCAUGACAAGAGCGUGCCACAGAUCAGGAGUUUAAUUAAUCUGAUUCUGUGUACUUGAGGCUAAUUAAAAACAAAAUCAUAAAUCUUUUAUUGUUUCAUUCAACCCCACGGGCCCUUGCUUGUCCUACUGAUACACAGUCAAGUAUCUCCUUCUUGAUGGCCUCCAUUUCUCAUGCCCAAAAUAUUCCUGUAUUUCAGGGCUGGCUCCGUGCCAACACCCUGUUGAUCAGGCCUGGUUGCAAGGGCAGGCAUCAGGGGAAGUGAAAGCUCUGUGAGUCAGCUACCUUGUCUGCAUGUCUGGGCCACACAGCAUUGCAGAUGAAGUUGCAUGUGACACAGGCCACGGGUGCUUGCCCACUCCGUGGCAAUGCCUGAGUUCCUGCCCAGGCCGCAUGGUGUUCUGCUCCCAGGCUCAAAUGUACAGUUCAGCAUCCAACACACUGUGUAUGGACACAAAUCUGUCAAGUUCAAGGACUCUCAGCUAGGGGCUCAAAGUCACAUGCCUGCCUACAAGUAGGCAAGCAGGAGACGCUCAGAGAAAUGCAACGCUCUGGGCACGGGGACACAGUAAGCAGCAGAUCCAGGGUUUCCGCCGUGCGGUCUGGCACCAAGCGCUCAUUGUGCCCAUCUUGAACUGCGUGAUUCUGGGUUCCGGCUCAGAGCCUCCAUUGCCGGCCAGAAAUCUCCUCUGGAAAAUAUCCAAACAGAAAUCUUUGUCCUACACUGUCAAUCAACUUGGUGAACACCUGCCCCCUGAUGGCUUCUGCCAGGCACCCGUGAUCCUUAUUUCCAACUUCAUUGCAAAAUGUGCAAGUACAAAGGAAGCAGAGAGAAGAGCAGAGGAACAGAACAUGGGUACGUGCAGAAAAACCCCAAGCUGACUUCUCAGAGCCCUUCCUCAGUGCACCUGCACAGAUGAAAUAUGAUGGCAGCAUCUCUUACUAGGAAGGACCGUGUGCCUUGGAGUCAGCUCUACAGCCCUGCUCAUCUGCCUCCUCCUCUGUAGACCAAGCAGGGAGGACCCAGAGGUCCAUAAGGUCUUCUUAGGAGGAAUGUGAGGGACCGCCCUGAGGGUCCCCCAGAUGGCCGCAAUGGCAGGAGCUGCGCCGAUCCGAAGCCAGGAGCCCGGAGCCUUCUCUGGGUCUCCCACGUGGGUGCAGGGGCCCAAGGACUUGGGCCAUCUUCUACUGCUUUCCCACGCCAUAGCAGAGAGCUGGAUCAGAAGUGGAGCAGCCGGGUCUUGAAGAUGGGAUGCCGGCAUUGCAGGCGGCGGCCUCACCUGCUACGCCACAACACUGGCCCCUGAAGUUAUCUUAAAAGCAGUGAUUGCUAAAAAUGACCAUCUUUGGGGUAAGAGUUGCUGCAGAAUUGAGUCUUGAUGAAGAGUUUGGAGUCUGAUUGAACCCCAGCUUUGCUAAUAUUAGCCAUGUGCUCCUUGGGACAGUUAUUAGCAUUUUUUGAACUUUGUUUUUUUUUUUUUCCAGUGCAAAAGGGCUGCUACAGAACUUAUUCCAUGGGCCUUGCAGGGCAGGGGUUUAAGUAGAUGAUGUGUGCAGUGGCGACCAGGAAGUCUGCGGAACAAGCAGUGAGAACUACUGAGUUUGGGGCCAAAGUGAUCACUACUCCUGGUGGGGAGGGGAACUUGCUCCUUCACAGAAACCGCACAGCAGGUUAGCAGUGAGGCUGCAGAGCGGCCCUGGCCUGCGCGCUCCAGGCGGCUUCCUCAUGACCGCGUCGUCCAGGAAGACAACCAUUUCACACGGAAGCUUGUGCGAAGACUCCGCGGUUCUCCUACGCGCGCUCCAAAGCCGGCUGCCAGAACUAGGUGUGGCCAAGCAGAGUCUCCCCAAGCUGGAGGGGAGGUGGCUGUGUACAAGAUAAAGUGUGAACCUCCUGCCUGGGGUCCCCUCUUCACCCCUCCCAAGCCAGGUACAUCCACAGGACGUCAUUCUCCCAACACGCGUGUUCCCGGGCUCUGCUGGAGCUGCCGCCUCUUCCCAGAAGAGUUUGCCCUGUGCCGCCUGGCAGCUUCCUUCCUGUCCACCAACACUCAGCCCAGGUGUCCGUCCUUACGAGUGAAGGAUCCCUCCAUUGUCCCGGGGCCCUGCUGAGUUACCAGGUGCCAUUGAGUGAAUGUGUCCCCCAAGGCUCACGUGUUGGAAACUUAACCCCUAAAGCACGGGUGUUGAGGGCUAGGACCCGGAUGAGGUGGUGAUUAUGUCGUGAGUGCUCUGCCCUUAUGAAUGGAUCCAUGUUGCUAUUGCUGGCGUGGGUUUGAUGUAGAAAGUGAGUUUAGCCCCAUCUUAUGCUUGCAUGCUCUCUCGUGCACGCUCUCUCUCACCCCCAUGAUGCCCUGUGCCACACCAAGAUGCAGCUAAUAGGUCCUUACCCAAUGUGGUACCUUCCUUUGGGACUGGGGAUAAAUUUCCAUUCAUUAUAAAUCUCCUAGUCUGUGGUAGCACAAAACUGAGCUAAGACAUCAAGCCUCCAGGUUUGCCACGGUGUUUCACGUUAUGGCCACUGUGACUUAGCUGUAGGACCUGGGAUAAAGGAAGUUCUUUCUUCCAGCAACUCCCAGCUGUAGUGGGUCAGAUCUUCCCAGAGCUAGACAUGGAUUGCUUUUUCACCACCUUCAAAACAGAGUCUGAACCUGAACCUGAACCAAAAGGCAUAGCCGUUCUUGUAAAGGGCAACUGACAAGGACAAUGCUAGCUUUCUCUGUUUUCCUUCCACUUAGCAACAAAAGCAAAUAAGGAAUGCAUAUCUGAAGUAGACCAUUACACAGAGCCAUUAGUUAUAUUUAUCUCCAUUCUUAUGGGGAUGCAUUUUUUUUCUUUGUCUUUGGAACCUCCAUGCCCAAGUCAGGGUGUGUUAGUUACCCUGUUCUGUGCCUCAUGAAUGCUCUGUGUCAGUUGCUCUGGGAGACACACUAGACUAUUCUGUGUGGGAGACACACUUGACUUUUCCACUGAAUUGAAAGCCAGUCACAUCACGUAGCCCUUUCCACCCUGGGGACGGUCACUGUGUGGGACUGUGGGGUGGGGGUGGGUGAGGAGGGUCCCACAGAGGUCUCUGCAGUUCUUUGGUCCCUGCAUCCCACCCUUCUCCUCUGGGCUCAGUUUCAGCGGCAGCCCCACCCCACCCCUUUCUGCCUGUUUGAGCUCCCACUUGCUUAGCCGGCAUGUCCCUCUCUGCUCCCCAAGCCCUGCAGCCACACGUAGGCUCCAUAAAACACACUCUCUUGAGUUCUCCUCCAGUGGUUUUGUGUUUGCAUUUCUUAUCUCCUCUAACAGACGCUGAGUUUCCAGACCGGGGCUUCUCGGCAGCUUUUCAACUCUUCAGAGCACUUAGCAGACUGCUGGGACCACACCUGACAAUCCAGCGUUCCUGGGCAGGGACAUUCUUCACGGCCGGCUGCUCCGCGUGUGGUCUGGGGCAGCAGCAGCGCUGGCUGGCGUCCCAUCCACCGGAGCUCUGGAGAAACGCAGCAAUGCAGGCCUUGCCCCAGCCCUGCUGGACGGGAAUCUGCAUCCCAUGACACCCUAGGUGACCCGCGGGCACAGCAAAGCUCGAGGAGCACUGCACUGGUGUUCCCAGCACCGACCACAUGGCCGAGGCACACCAGGGCCCGUCCUUCUGUGGAACACGUGCCUUGCUCCUCCUACUGCCUCGUGAGAAGAUUGAGCCAGAAGUCUGACUCCGUCCUCUCCAGCACAGGUGCAGCUCUUGGUGUCUUCUCUGUUUAUCCGCUUGCUUCUAGCUGAACAGAAGUGAGGAAGUCUUUGACCCACAAAAACUGUGGGAUGAAGUGCCCCUGCCCUCCACUUACAGGUUGAUGAGCUGAAAAAGCCAUUUGACAACCAGAGCGGUCUUCAUUCAUCCAUCCUAAGCCUUCAACCCAAAGAAAAGUCUGCCUCACUCUCAGCCAAUUAAACAUAGAAAAUCACACGCAGCAAAAGGAAUGCCAGGCUUUGCUUUCAACCCUAAUUCUUCCACUUAAGCAGAAGCCAACACAAGACUUCAAAGGGUCUUUAAAUGGGAACUCUUUAAAGGACUUUAAAAUUAUAUUUAUUCACAUCUUGAUAAGAGCCCAGGUAUCUUGAAAUUCAAGGGGGACUGAUGUUCGGUUGGAGUCGCUGCAUUUUAUGGGGAAUCCAAGAGAGAGCAGCUUUGGUGUGGAAUGACAGCAAACUGCCUGAUUCCCCGCCCCCCUUUCUGCAGCAGGAGCUAAGCAGUUAAGUGCUGCUGCUAGCGAUCCGGUUACUUCUUGGCUCCCUUGUCCUACCUGAGGGUUGAUUUACAGCGAUAAUUUUCUUUAGACAUUUUAAAAAGAAGUUGUUCAUAAAGGAAGAGAGAGAGAUUGGACAGUGUCUUCCUGAAUGUCACAGGCGGGUAAUAAUUAGGUCAUUUGCUUUCUGUUCAUUUUUCUAACUUCUCUGAUGGCUGGUGCGCUACCUUUCUUCCUGCUAUCAAUUAGUCGAACAAUUCAUAUCAAUAUUUUAUUUUUAAUGGUUGACUACUCAUUUCAUUAAAAAUGUAAGUGCAUUAGCUCCAUGUAGAAUGACUCCUUUGGGAUGAACCGAUUUAAAUAUUCAUAACAUAAAAAUUAAUAAAUCUGAGCAAUGUUUGCAUUUUAAAAAGUCAGGCUGCUGUCAGAUGUAUUUAUUCCCAGAUGAGAGCCACUAAAUUAAAAAGCUUGGGCAUCGUCUUUUUAUGGAUUCUUCUUCGCAACCAAACAAUGCAAUAGAAGUGCUAUGAGAAUUGCAUUGUGUUUCAAAAACCUCUUGGAAGAUGGAAUGAAAAAGACACAUUUAUUGGGGUCCAAAACAUUCUGGAACCCACACGUACAAGGAGUCUUCAAAAAAGCUCAUGGGAAAUGGAUACUAUGGAUUUAACAUUUUUUUCUAUGUCAUUUUUCCACGAAUUUUUGAAGUUGCCUCUUAUUACUAUUAAGUUACCUAUUGUUUCUGUCACCUUCACCUAAUCAUGAUUUGCUGGGGCCGGCGCUGUGGCCCUGGCAUUAAGCACCGGCAUCCCAUAUGGGCACCAGUUCAAGACCCAGCUGCUCCACUUCCGAUCCUGCUCUUUCAUCCAGCUCUCUGCUAUGGCCUGGGAUAGCAGUAGAGGAUGGCCCAAGUGCUUAGGCCCCUGCACCUACAUAGGAGACCCGGAAGAAGCUCCUGGUUCCUGGUUUCAGAUCAGCCAGCUCUGGCCAUUGCAGCCAUCUGGGGAGUAAACCAGCUGAUGGAAGACCUCUCUCUCUCCCUCUCUCUCUCUCUACCUCUCCUCUCUCUGUGUAACUCU
This is a non-coding RNA of Oryctolagus cuniculus (rabbit), 6593 nucleotides long. The record is from RefSeq and is a predicted model, not a curated record. Lineage: Eukaryota; Metazoa; Chordata; Mammalia; Lagomorpha; Leporidae.